GACGAACGCUGGCGGCGUGCUUAACACAUGCAAGUCGAACGCUGAACCCGCUUCGGUGGGGGAUGAGUGGCGAACGGGUGAGUAACACGUGGGCAACCUGCCCCCGGCUCUGGGAUAACUCCAAGAAAUUGGGGCUAAUACCGGAUGUGACCGCUGGCCGCAUGGUCUGGUGGUGGAAAGGGUUUCCGGCUGGGGAUGGGCCCGCGGCCUAUCAGCUUGUUGGUGGGGUAGUGGCCUACCAAGGCGACGACGGGUAGCCGGCCUGAGAGGGUGACCGGCCACACUGGGACUGAGACACGGCCCAGACUCCUACGGGAGGCAGCAGUGGGGAAUAUUGCGCAAUGGGCGGAAGCCUGACGCAGCGACGCCGCGUGGGGGAUGACGGCCUUCGGGUUGUAAACCUCUUGCAGCAGGGACGAAGCGCAAGUGACGGUACCUGCAGAAGAAGCACCGGCCAACUACGUG
Molecule: ribosomal RNA, 465 nt
Filed under: uncultured bacterium
Lineage: Bacteria
Description: partial 16S ribosomal RNA
Rfam family: Bacterial small subunit ribosomal RNA
Source: RNAcentral